GACCUUGAAAUACCACCCUUUAAUGUUUGAUGUUCUAACGUUGACCCGUAAUCCGGGUUGCGGACAGUGUCUGGUGGGUAGUUUGACUGGGGCGGUCUCCUCCUAAAGAGUAACGGAGGAGCACGAAGGUUGGCUAAUCCUGGUCGGACAUCAGGAGGUUAGUGCAAUGGCAUAAGCCAGCUUGACUGCGAGCGUGACGGCGCGAGCAGGUGCGAAAGCAGGUCAUAGUGAUCCGGUGGUUCUGAAUGGAAGGGCCAUCGCUCAACGGAUAAAAGGUACUCCGGGGAUAACAGGCUGAUACCGCCCAAGAGUUCAUAUCGACGGCGGUGUUUGGCACCUCGAUGUCGGCUCAUCACAUCCUGGGGCUGAAGUAGGUCCCAAGGGUAUGGCUGUUCGCCAUUUAAAGUGGUACGCGAGCUGGGUUUAGAACGUCGUGAGACAGUUCGGUCCCUAUCUGCCGUGGGCGCUGGAGAACUGAGGGGGGCUGCUCCUAGUACGAGAGGACCGGAGUGGACGCAUCACUGGUGUUCGGGUUGUCAUGCCAAUGGCACUGCCCGGUAGCUAAAUGCGGAAGAGAUAAGUGCUGAAAGCAUCUAAGCACGAAACUUGCCCCGAGAUGAGUUCUCCCUGACUCCUUGAGAGUCCUGAAGGA
RNAcentral lists this ribosomal RNA (652 nucleotides) under Escherichia coli. RNAcentral's name for it is "partial 23S ribosomal RNA". It matches the Rfam family "Bacterial large subunit ribosomal RNA", at positions 2188 to 2844 of the family's 2925-position model. Lineage: Bacteria; Pseudomonadati; Pseudomonadota; Gammaproteobacteria; Enterobacterales; Enterobacteriaceae. The record is from RNAcentral.